RNAcentral lists this long non-coding RNA (1695 nucleotides) under Callithrix jacchus (white-tufted-ear marmoset). Its description in RNAcentral is "lncRNA (ENSCJAG00000054964.2)". Lineage: Eukaryota; Metazoa; Chordata; Mammalia; Primates; Cebidae. The record is from RNAcentral.
AUUGCCCAACCUUGAGAAGCAACCAAUACGUCCUCUAGUAGGUUUUGUCUCCUUGAAAGCCCAUCUGUAUGAAAAAGCCUGACAAUCAUACAGAAAAAGAACUCUGCUUCAUGGAGAGAGGAAAACCACAUGGAGAUUUGUCAACAGUCACCUCCAUGAAUCCUCUCAAAGUUUCCAGAGAGCCCAGCUACCAACUGAAUGCAACAGAGGAUUUUGUGGAAGACAACAGAGUUAUGAGAAGUGGAGAUGAGAUACCUUAAUUCAAUAGUGCCUGGACAAACCUUUGACAGAUCACAAGAUCAAGAGGAGACGUGUUUAUGACAAGUUAAAGAGAAUGAUGGCGGUAGAAAGCAUUCGGUCCCAGCGGGGAAAUGGAAUUAAAAGUGUCUCCCAUUUGGGACCCUGUGGGAAUAUAUACUUAAGCAAGAUUAUAUCAUUUCAAACUAAGGUAGCCUUAUUCAAAUAAUAAGAUUGAAACUUUAUUGGUAAAUAGAAGGCCCCAGUUUUUACUCCCUAUCCUUCUUUAGUGCUUGUGUGUUAGAAAAGCACCCAUAAUUUUCCACCCUUUUCAGAAGUGUGAGAAUACCAAAAGGGAGGAUUGCAUGGAAAAACACCAUGGCAAAACAUGAGGUGAAUCACUUCAGGCAAGAGUUCGGUAAAGGAUUGUGAUAGUGUGAUAUAAAAAGAUAUAUAUAUAUAUAUUUUUUUUUGGUCUUUGUCUCCAGUUUCUGGUACAGAGCUUCUAAAACCUUUGGAAUUUCCUGAGUAAUAAGCUUGAUAGGUGCAUCUUUGGUUAUAAUAUUUGGUCACAGGCCCGCCCCAGCUUCUAAGACUCUUGGAAUCUCCAAAGUGAUAAGUGUAUUUUGGUAUGCUAAUGAGAUGAUUGGUGGCUAGAGGCCUCUAGAUCACUUUAGGAUGGAGGGUGGCCACCAGAAAGAAAGGCAUGAUUAUAGGGUUGAAACUUUCAGGCCUACUCCCAACCUGUGGGUAGAGAUGGGGGUGCUAGAUGGAGAUUGAGUUAUCAUCAAUGGCACAUGAUAUAAUCAAUCAUGCAUAUGUGACAGAACCUUCAUAAAAACCCUAAUGGACAGAGUUCAGAGAGCAUUUCAUUAGUGAACACCUCUAGACACCAAUAAAGUGGUGAAAAGGUGCAUGGAGACUUCAAGCCCCUCCUCCACCUUGCCCGGUGCAUCCCUUCCAUUUGGCUGUUCCUGAGUUGUACGCUUAUAAUAUUACGGUAAUAGCAAGUGAAGUGCUUUCCUGAGUUCUUUGAUUUGUUCUAGCAAUUUCUUAAAUGUAAUGAAGGGGUUGUGGUAAUCUCUUGAAUUUAUAGCUGGUCAGUCAGAAGUCCUAGUAGUCCAGGACUUAUGCCUGGCAUCUGAAGUGGGGGCAGUCUUGUGAGACUGAGCACUUAACUUGUGGAAUGGGAUGUUAAUUUCAGCUAACUAACUAUUGUCAGACUAUUUUAGGAUACCCAUCUGUUAUUAGAGAAAUGAUUAGUGUAGGGGUAUCUAUGAGCCAAGGAGAGAGACCUGAGAAGAAAACAACCCAGCCAAUACCUUGAUCUCAGAGUUUAAGUCUCCAGAACUGUGAGAAAAUAAAUGUUUGUUAUUUAAGCCACCCACUCUGUGGUACUUUGUUAUGGCAGUCCUAACAAACAAAUACACUAAUAUCAGCUGUCAUAGUUGCUGGCUU